AGCGAACGCUGGCGGCAGGCUUAACACAUGCAAGUCGAGCGGGCACUUCGGUGUCAGCGGCAGACGGGUGAGUAACACGUGGGAACGUACCCUUUGGUUCGGAAUAACGCUGGGAAACUAGCGCUAAUACCGGAUACGCCCUUUUGGGGAAAGGCUUGCUGCCGAAGGAUCGGCCCGCGUCUGAUUAGCUAGUUGGUGGGGUAAUGGCCUACCAAGGCGACGAUCAGUAGCUGGUCUGAGAGGAUGAUCAGCCACACUGGGACUGAGACACGGCCCAGACUCCUACGGGAGGCAGCAGUGGGGAAUAUUGGACAAUGGGCGCAAGCCUGAUCCAGCCAUGCCGCGUGAGUGAUGAAGGUCUUAGGGUUGUAAAGCUCUUUUGUCCGGGACGAUAAUGACGGUACCGGAAGAAUAAGCCCCGGCUAACUUCGUG
This 433-nucleotide ribosomal RNA is filed under the name uncultured bacterium. Its description in RNAcentral is "partial 16S ribosomal RNA". It matches the Rfam family "Bacterial small subunit ribosomal RNA", at positions 29 to 507 of the family's 1533-position model. The record is from RNAcentral.